AAGCUCGUAGUUGAAUUUCGGGAUUAGUACGUCGGUCGUGCCUUAGGUACGUACUGGUGUUACUGGUUCCUACCUUCUGACGAACCAUCAUGUCAUUAAUUUGGUGUGGUGGGGAAUCAGGACUGUUACUUUGAAAAAAUUAGAGUGUUUAAAGCAGGCUCGCGCUUGAAUACAUUAGCAUGGAAUAAUGAAAUAGGACGUUGAUCCUAUUUUGUUGGUUUCUAGGAUUGACGUAAUGAUUAAUAGGGAUAGUUGG
RNAcentral lists this ribosomal RNA (256 nucleotides) under uncultured Glomus. RNAcentral describes it as "partial 18S ribosomal RNA". It matches the Rfam family "Eukaryotic small subunit ribosomal RNA", at positions 624 to 885 of the family's 1831-position model. The record is from RNAcentral. Lineage: Eukaryota; Fungi; Glomeromycota; Glomeromycetes; Glomerales; Glomeraceae.